AUGGAGAAAAUUUUCUUAUGCAGCUACCUCAGCUCUAUCCGUUAUGCUCAACUUCUGACUACAAAAUAUAUUAUUAGAGAAAAGGCUCCUGUGGAUGUCUCUGUCCAGGCUCAGCAGGGUAAGGACCGGCCGCCGAAUCCUCCUUGGGUGCCACCAUCAGUGAAUUGGCUCGCUUUGUCAGUCGAUGGACCAUUUUGCCAAGAGGAAGGAUCAGUUGGUGCGGGGCUUCACGUUGUCUUGCUAAUUAUGCUUGUACGACAUGUAGCACCGCCUGUUGGUUGCAAUGUGGCCCCCUUUCACUCAUGA
Molecule: ribosomal RNA, 306 nt
Filed under: Triticum aestivum (bread wheat)
Lineage: Eukaryota; Viridiplantae; Streptophyta; Magnoliopsida; Poales; Poaceae
Description: partial small subunit ribosomal RNA
Source: RNAcentral